GGUGCCCGUACCGCAAACCGACACAGGUAGGUAGGAAGAAGAUUCUAAGGCCAACGGGAGAAGGGUUGUUAAGGAACUCGGCAAAUUGACCCCGUAACUUCGGGAGAAGGGGUGCUCCAGAGAUGGAGCCGCAGAGAAUCGGCCCAAGCAACUGUUUACCAAAAACACAGGUUUGUGCUAAAUCGAAAGAUGACGUAUACGAGCUGACGCCUGCCCGGUGCUGGAAGGUUAAGAGGAGAUGUGCAAGCAUUGAAUCGAAGCCCCAGUGAACGGCGGCCGUAACUAUAACGGUCCUAAGGUAGCGAAAUUCCUUGUCAGGUAAGUUCUGACCCGCAUGAAAGGCGUAAUGAUUUGGGCACUGUCUCAACAGCCCGCCCGGCGAAAUUGUAGUACCGGUGAAGAUGCCGGUUACCCGCGACAAGACGGAAAGACCCCAUGGAGCUUUACUGUAGCCUAAUAUUGGGUUUCGAUGUUGCAUGCACAGGAUAGAUGGGACACAGGGAAACAAGUGCUUUGGCAUUUGUGGAGUGGCCGUUGGGAUACCAUCCUUGCGAUAUUGGAAUUCUAACCUGCGCCUUUGAAUCAAGGCGGGGGACAUUGUUAGGUGGGCAGUUUGACUGGGGCGGUCGCCUCCUAAAGAGUAACGGAGGCGUUCAAAGGUUCGCUCAGCUUGAACGGAAAUCAAGCAAAAGAGUGCAAACGCAGAAGCGAGCCUAACUGCGAGACUGACGGGUCGAGCAGUAACGAAAGUUGGAGUUAGUGAUCCGGUGGUAUGUGAGUGGAAAUGCCAUCGCUCAACGGAUAAAAGUUACCCUGGGGAUAACAGGCUGAUCUCCCCCAAGAGUCCACAUCGACGGGGAGGUUUGGCACCUCGAUGUCGGCUCAUCGCAUCCUGGGGCUGUAUUCGGUCCCAAGGGUUUGGCUGUUCGCCAAUUAAAGCGGUACGCGAGCUGGGUUCAGAACGUCGUGAGACAGUUCGGUCCCUAU
RNAcentral lists this ribosomal RNA (987 nucleotides) under metagenome. RNAcentral's name for it is "bacterial LSU rRNA". It matches the Rfam family "Bacterial large subunit ribosomal RNA", at positions 1637 to 2641 of the family's 2925-position model. The record is from RNAcentral.